ACCAGUGUGGUGUAAUGGUUUGAGCAUUAGACUAUGACUCUGAAGACCAGGGUUCAAAUCCCUGCUCAGCUG
RNAcentral lists this transfer RNA (72 nucleotides) under Phrynosoma platyrhinos (Desert horned lizard). RNAcentral describes it as "tRNA-OTHER". It matches the Rfam family "tRNA". Rfam says of the family: Transfer RNA (tRNA) molecules are approximately 80 nucleotides in length. Their secondary structure includes four short double-helical elements and three loops (D, anti-codon, and T loops). Further hydrogen bonds mediate the characteristic L-shaped molecular structure. tRNAs have two regions of fundamental functional importance: the anti-codon, which is responsible for specific mRNA codon recognition, and the 3' end, to which the tRNAs corresponding amino acid is attached (by aminoacyl-tRNA synthetases). tRNAs cope with the degeneracy of the genetic code in two manners: having more than one tRNA (with a specific anti-codon) for a particular amino acid; and 'wobble' base-pairing, i.e. permitting non-standard base-pairing at the 3rd anti-codon position. Lineage: Eukaryota; Metazoa; Chordata; Lepidosauria; Squamata; Phrynosomatidae. The record is from RNAcentral.